UACAGAGGUCCCAAGCGUUGUUCGGAUUCACUGGGCGUAAAGGGUGCGUAGGCGGUCGGGUAAGUCUGGCGUGAAAUCUCCAAGCCUAACUUGGAAACUGCGUUGGAUACUAUCCGGCUCGAGGAAUGGAGGGGAGACUGGAAUACUUGGUGUAGCAGUGAAAUGCGUAGAUAUAUGGAAGAACACCAAUAACGGCGAAGGCAGUUAACUAUUCUGUUACUGACAUUGAGGCACGAAAGCGUGGGGAGCAAAACGG
RNAcentral lists this ribosomal RNA (256 nucleotides) under uncultured bacterium. RNAcentral's name for it is "partial 16S ribosomal RNA". It matches the Rfam family "Bacterial small subunit ribosomal RNA", at positions 524 to 776 of the family's 1533-position model. The record is from RNAcentral.